This 500-nucleotide long non-coding RNA is filed under the name Fukomys damarensis (Damara mole-rat). Its description in RNAcentral is "lncRNA (ENSFDAG00000022584.1)". The record is from RNAcentral. Lineage: Eukaryota; Metazoa; Chordata; Mammalia; Rodentia; Bathyergidae.
UGAUUGGGGCUACCUCUCUUUGCACUGAAGAAAGAUCUCAUGAACACACUGAAUCUGUGCAUCCUUAAUACCCAGGCCCCUCGCCUGCAGCUGGAGGCAGCUCUCUGCUCAGCCUGCAGGGCAGAGUGACACAGGCAGGCAAGCAACAACUUCUAUUACACUGAGGCAGAGGGUGCAAACCAUUCAGAACCGCGGCAAGGCAUGAGAGAGGCAAAGGGGUAGCUGAGAAGUUUUGGACAAGAACUCUGCAGGCAACUGGAAGCACAGUGUACCCAGGCAAACUGAUCACAGUGGAUCUAGACAAUGAUUCAAGUGGAUUGAAUUACCUAAGCAGGACAAGUCUUUGAAUAAAAAAUCACAAAUGCAAACCGGGAACCCAUUUUGCAAGAAUUUGCCUUUUCAGAACUGAUGCUUUAAAUAUCAGAUGACAUAACUGUUCCCCUAAGUGACUGAGAUUGGCAAGUAUGAGAAUGAAGGUGAAGACAAACUCCAAAUACCUG